RNAcentral lists this ribosomal RNA (465 nucleotides) under Vreelandella stevensii. RNAcentral describes it as "partial 16S ribosomal RNA". It matches the Rfam family "Bacterial small subunit ribosomal RNA", at positions 338 to 795 of the family's 1533-position model. The record is from RNAcentral. Lineage: Bacteria; Pseudomonadati; Pseudomonadota; Gammaproteobacteria; Oceanospirillales; Halomonadaceae.
CCUACGGGCGGCAGCAGUGGGGAAUAUUGGACAAUGGGGGCAACCCUGAUCCAGCCAUGCCGCGUGUGUGAAGAAGGCCCUCGGGUUGUAAAGCACUUUCAGUGAGGAAGAACGCCUGGUGGUUAAUACCCAUCAGGAAAGACAUCACUCACAGAAGAAGCACCGGCUAACUCCGUGCCAGCAGCCGCGGUAAUACGGAGGGUGCGAGCGUUAAUCGGAAUUACUGGGCGUAAAGCGCGCGUAGGUGGCUUGAUAAGCCGGUUGUGAAAGCCCCGGGCUCAACCUGGGAACGGCAUCCGGAACUGUCAAGCUAGGGUGCAGGAGAGGAAGGUAGAAUUCCCGGUGUAGCGGUGAAAUGCGUAGAGAUCGGGAGGAAUACCAGUGGCGAAGGCGGCCUUCUGGACUGACACUGACACUGAGGUGCGAAAGCGUGGGUAGCAAACAGGAUUAGAUACCCUUGUAGUC